AUUGAACGCUGGCGGCAGGCCUAACACAUGCAAGUCGAACGGUAACAGGAAGAAGCUUGCUUCUUUGCUGACGAGUGGCGGACGGGUGAGUAAUGUCUGGGAAACUGCCUGAUGGAGGGGGAUAACUACUGGAAACGGUAGCUAAUACCGCAUAACGUCGCAAGACCAAAGAGGGGGACCUUCGGGCCUCUUGCCAUUGGAUGGGCCCAGAUGGGAUUAGCUAGUAGGUGGGGUAACGGCUCACCUAGGCGACGAUCCCUAGCUGGUCUGAGAGGAUGACCAGCCACACUGGAACUGAGACACGGUCCAGACUCCUACGGGAGGCAGCAGUGGGGAAUAUUGCACAAUAGGCGCAAGCCUGAUGCAGCCAUGCCGCGUGUAUGAAGAAGGCCUUCGGGUUGUAAAGUACUUUCAGCGGGGAGGAAGGGAGUAAAGUUAAUACCUUUGCUCAUUGACGUUACCCGCAGAAGAAGCACCGGCUAACUCCGUG
RNAcentral lists this ribosomal RNA (490 nucleotides) under uncultured bacterium. RNAcentral's name for it is "partial 16S ribosomal RNA". It matches the Rfam family "Bacterial small subunit ribosomal RNA", at positions 30 to 507 of the family's 1533-position model. The record is from RNAcentral.